CUCUAAUGAGACGCAAUAACUCAUUACUGUGUGGAUACAUUAACUUCUGCUUAAGCUUUAUAAUGCAAAAUAGCAUACUGGGCUUGUUCUGUGCACGCUGAACAUGGCAGUCCAGUUCAUCUUCGUAAACUCACAUAAAUCAAAGAGAACAGGCCCAUGGAAAAGCUGAGCUUUGUCACACAUUGAGCCUUCCAGAAUGAUGGUCAUGAGGAGCCUAUGGAGCUAUAUUGUGUUUUGACUCGUGGAUGGGAGUUCAAGCUGAGAAGGCAGAGAAAACACACAUACCUUAUUUCUUUCAUAGACCCAGCAUUUGGCCAGCAGAAUGCUCCUGAAGAUCUUUCCCUACCUGUUGCUUGCAAUGUGCUUGUUUGCCGCAAGGACUGGCCACUUACCAGCUAGCUUACUCUGUUGUCUGGACUGAGACCCAAAACUUCACUUCAGACUGGAUUUGUCAAGAAAGUUCCUUUAUACAGAGAAGUGGCAAGUAAAAUGCACUAUAUGGGGGACCAAGAAGCACAUGCUUGAGUCUACCUUUCAAGGAGCCUGACUCCAAAUUCUUUACCCAUAGAUAUAACUGUUUUUUUCUUUUAUCUACCAUCUUCUACCAUCUGGCAAUUUAGGUUGGUUAACUAUUACAGGCAAACAUCAGGUACAUGUUCAAGCUCCUAUUAUUAUCAGUGUCAUUUUUUGUUUGGUUCAUGCUUGAUCCAGAUUAUUUUUUAAAUUUCUUUUUGACAUAUCAGGUUCUGUAUGUUUCCUCUUAUGCUAUUGCCAGUGUCCUGUAGGUGUCUGGACUUGGUAAUCCUUUGGACUAAAUGCCCAUCAUUAGCCUAUUAGAUCUGUCAUGCUGUUGAACACUACACUGCUUCAGGUGCAAUAUUUAAAUUUCCUGUCUUUCAGACUUAGAUAGCACUGUUUCUGCCCAUUGCAGGGAUCUUUCAGGUAACCAGAAAGAGUUAUGCUAUCUGUACUGUUCUUUUCUUAUUCUGCUGUAUUACCACCUUCCUUCAUGCUUUUCUUAGUAAGCAUUGAAGACUAGUUAUUGAUUAAGAAGUAAUGAUGUUUCAGCAUCUGUCAGCUAUUUCUCUCCAGUCACCAUGGUCUCAAUGGGUAGGAGAUACUUGGUUGAUCUGCUGUUGUCUUAGAAGUUUCUACACUAACCCAAAUUUCUGGCUGUGAGCCACUUUUUGAACCCAUGAGACAUAUCUUUGAGACUAGUAUUCAUUGAAAUAACAUUUUUUGACUCAUGGUUACUGCUGGCAAAUUAAGGAGUAGAGCUAUUUGCUAAAUCUGUAGCUACAUGUUUAUUUUUCUUUACACAGCUGAUCUUCUUUUAACCUCCCAAAUGUUCCUCUAGUUUUAUGUGAACUUGAUGUUGACCAGCCUUUUCUUUAGUUUUUGUCAUACACAAAAAAUGGCAGAA
Long non-coding RNA from Dromaius novaehollandiae (emu), 1423 nucleotides. RefSeq lists it as uncharacterized. The transcript is spliced from 5 exons. The record is from RefSeq and is a predicted model, not a curated record. Lineage: Eukaryota; Metazoa; Chordata; Aves; Casuariiformes; Dromaiidae.